This 301-nucleotide ribosomal RNA is filed under the name uncultured bacterium. RNAcentral describes it as "partial 16S ribosomal RNA". It matches the Rfam family "Bacterial small subunit ribosomal RNA", at positions 509 to 809 of the family's 1533-position model. The record is from RNAcentral.
CAGUCGCCGCGGUAAUACGUAGGCGGCAAGCGUUGUCCGGAAUUAUUGGGCGUAAAGGGAGCGCAGACGGACAUAUAAGUCCAUCUUAAAAGUGCGGGGCUCAACCCCGUGAGGGGAUGGAAACUGUAUGCCUUGAGUGCAGGAGAGGAAAGCGGAAUUCCCAGUGUAGCGGUGAAAUGCGUAGAUAUUGGGAGGAACACCAGUGGCGAGGGCGGCUUUCUGGACUGUAACUGACGCUGAGGCUCGAAAGCCAGGGGAGCGAACGGGAUUAGAUACCCCCGUAGUCCCUGUCUCUUAUACA